GCUGUGUUUCAGUGGUAGUACGUCUGAUUUACAAGCAGAAAGUCCCAGGUUCAAAUCCUAGGCACCUGCA
Non-coding RNA from Podarcis lilfordi (Lilford's wall lizard), 70 nucleotides. NCBI's taxonomy places the organism in Eukaryota, Metazoa, Chordata, Lepidosauria, Squamata, Lacertidae. The record is from the annotation of a GenBank genome assembly.